Molecule: ribosomal RNA, 496 nt
Filed under: uncultured bacterium
Lineage: Bacteria
Description: partial 16S ribosomal RNA
Rfam family: Bacterial small subunit ribosomal RNA
Source: RNAcentral
AUGAACGCUGGCGGCGUGCCUAAUACAUGCAAGUCGAGCGAACGGACGAGAAGCUUGCUUCUCUGAUGUUAGCGGCGGACGGGUGAGUAACACGUGGAUAACCUACCUAUAAGACUGGGAUAACUUCGGGAAACCGGAGCUAAUACCGGAUAAUAUUUUGAACCGCAUGGUUCAAAAGUGAAAGACGGUCUUGCUGUCACUUAUAGAUGGAUCCGCGCUGCAUUAGCUAGUUGGUAAGGUAACGGCUUACCAAGGCAACGAUGCAUAGCCGACCUGAGAGGGUGAUCGGCCACACUAGAACUGAGACACGGUCCAGACUCCUACGGGAGGCAGCAGUAGGGAAUCUUCCGCAAUGGGCGAAAGCCUGACGGAGCAACGCCGCGUGAGUGAUGAAGGUCUUCGGAUCGUAAAACUCUGUUAUUAGGGAAGAACAUAUGUGUAAGUAACUGUGCACAUCUUGACGGUACCUAAUCAGAAAGCCACGGCUAACUACGUG